This is a long non-coding RNA of Patella vulgata (common limpet), 573 nucleotides long. RefSeq lists it as uncharacterized. The transcript is spliced from 5 exons. NCBI's taxonomy places the organism in Eukaryota, Metazoa, Mollusca, Gastropoda, Patellidae. The record is from RefSeq and is a predicted model, not a curated record.
AUCCCACAGUACCAGACAAUCUCGAAUUAUAUGAUUUUACAUAUAAUGUUGCAAUGUCACUGAUCUUUGUGGGACUCGUGUUGGUCAUUCUGUCUGUAAUUGCAUGUGCCGGUGCCUGUAAAUCAUUGCCGCUGUUGAUGCUGUUUAAUGUGUUGAUAUUGCCUAUGAUAAUAGCAGAAAUUACAGUCGCUAGUUUAGUAAUACCAGCAUCAUCACCAAUUCAUGACGCCAGUAGAAAUGAUCUGUUAAACAACUUAAAACAUUAUAAUGUGAAUGGUUCUGACGAUUUCUCUGCCACGAUGAAUAUACUGAUGCUUGGGUUGGACUGUUGUGGAAUAAAUGAACAGGACGAUUUUGAUGAUGUAACUAUGAUUUAUAGAGGGGUUAACGUGAAGAUACCACCAGCAUGUUGUAAGAUCGCACCUGGGGGAAAAACCUUACUAAACUGUGAAAACAAUGCAACUAAUUCUAAUUCUCAGACUGAGGUAGGUAAUUUGAAGAAAAGAAACAACAUAUCAUACGAGGCAAGCGUUACGUUAUUGAAUGUCUGUAAUAUAUUGGUUGGUGUAGUAC